UACGGGGGGGGCAAGCGUUGUUCGGAAUUACUGGGCGUAAAGGGCUCGUAGGCGGCCAACUAAGUCAGACGUGAAAUCCCUCGGCUUAACCGGGGAACUGCGUCUGAUACUGGAUGGCUGGAGUUUGGGAGAGGGAUGCGGAAUUCCAGGUGUAGCGGUGAAAUGCGUAGAUAUCUGGAGGAACACCGGUGGCGAAGGCGGCAUCCUGGACCGACAUUGACGCUGAGGCGCGAAAGCCAGGGGAGCAAACGGG
RNAcentral lists this ribosomal RNA (253 nucleotides) under uncultured bacterium. Its description in RNAcentral is "partial 16S ribosomal RNA". It matches the Rfam family "Bacterial small subunit ribosomal RNA", at positions 524 to 776 of the family's 1533-position model. The record is from RNAcentral.